AAGUUUAGGCUAUAAUAUAACAUCACGCUGCGACCAAUAAGAACGAAGAAUCAGUGGAUAAUGUGGAAAAACGGGGAAAAUUAUUAUAUUAUUUGUGAAAUUUUGUAAUC
Molecule: long non-coding RNA, 110 nt
Organism: Aricia agestis (brown argus)
Lineage: Eukaryota; Metazoa; Arthropoda; Insecta; Lepidoptera; Lycaenidae
Exons: 3
Source: RefSeq, a predicted model, not a curated record